AGCAGCCGCGGUAAUUCCAGCUCCAAUAGCGUAUAUUAAAGUUGUUGCAGUUAAAAAGCUCGUAGUUGAAUUUCGGGAUCAAUAUGUCUGUCGUGCCUUCGGUACGUACGGGUAUAAUUGGUUUCUACCUUCUGAUGAACCUUGAUGCCAUUAAUUUGGUGUCUUGGGGACUCAGGACUGUUACCUUGAAAAAAUUAGAGUGUUUAAAGCAGGCAUACGCUUGAAUACAUUAGCAUGGAAUAAUGAAAUAGGACGUUCGAUUCUAUUUUGUUGGUUUCUAGGAUCGACGUAAUGAUUAAUAGGGAUAGUUGGGGGCAUUAGUAUUCAAUUGUCAGAGGUGAAAUUCUUGGAUUUAUUGAAGACUAACUACUGCGAAAGCAUUUGCCAAGGAUGUUUUCAUUAAUCAAGAACGAAAGUUAGGGGAUCGAAGACGAUCAGAUACCGUCGUAGUCUUAACCAUAAACUAUGCCGACUAGGGAUCGGAUGAUGUUAAUUUUUAAUGACUCAUUCGGCGCCUUAA
RNAcentral lists this ribosomal RNA (520 nucleotides) under uncultured Glomus. Its description in RNAcentral is "SSU rRNA". It matches the Rfam family "Eukaryotic small subunit ribosomal RNA", at positions 569 to 1091 of the family's 1831-position model. Lineage: Eukaryota; Fungi; Glomeromycota; Glomeromycetes; Glomerales; Glomeraceae. The record is from RNAcentral.